UUUGAUCAAAAUUACACAUGCAAGCAUCAGCACGCCAGUGAGAAUGCCCUAUAAAGCAUCUAGGAGCAGGUAUCAGGCACAAUCUUUAGCCCAAAACACCUUGCUACGCCACACCCACACGGGCACCCAGCAGUGAUAAAUAUUAAGCAAUGAGUGAAAGCCAACUCAAGCUCGACUUAGUUAUGAUCAUUAGGGCCGGUAAAUCUCGUGCCAGCCACCGCGGUUAUACGAGAGGCCCAAAACAGCAGACCCCGGCGUAAAUUGUGGCUAGAGUAAUUCUUAAAGAUAUGAGAAAUAAACGAACCCCAAUCGUAAAACCUGGGCUAAAAGAAACACACCCUCCCAACUAUAAAGUAACUUGAACCCACGAAAACUAAGAAACAAACUAGGAUUAGAUACCCUACUAUGCUUAGUUGUUAACACGACACUAAAAACAUGUGUCCGCCAGAGAAUUACACGCGAAAAGCUUAAAACUCAAAGGACUUGGCGGUGCUUCGUAUUCGUCUUAGAGGAGCCUGUCCUAUAAUCGAUAACCCACGUUUUACCUCACCAUCUUUUGUCUAAACAGCUUAUAUACCGCCGUCACAAACUUACCCCAUGAGGGUUCAACAGUAAAUAAAAAAGUAAUGCACUAACACGUCAGGUCAAGGUGUAGCUAAUAAGAUGGAAGAGAUGGGCUACAUUUUCUAAAACAGAACAUACGGCAAAGAACAUUGAAACAACGUUCUCAAAGGUGGAUUUAAUAGUAAGAUAGAAAAGAAAAUCUAUCUAAAACUCGCUCCGAAGCGCGCACACACCGCCCGUCACCCUCCUCAACU
RNAcentral lists this ribosomal RNA (818 nucleotides) under Liolaemus wiegmannii. Its description in RNAcentral is "partial 12S ribosomal RNA". It matches the Rfam family "Bacterial small subunit ribosomal RNA", at positions 38 to 1411 of the family's 1533-position model. Lineage: Eukaryota; Metazoa; Chordata; Lepidosauria; Squamata. The record is from RNAcentral.